Molecule: long non-coding RNA, 386 nt
Organism: Eriocheir sinensis (Chinese mitten crab)
Lineage: Eukaryota; Metazoa; Arthropoda; Malacostraca; Decapoda; Varunidae
Exons: 3
Source: RefSeq, a predicted model, not a curated record
UGCCUUCAGUGUUCCACCAACCGUCAAAAGGAAGAGAGUGUGCGUGUCGUGUUCCCUUUUAUACGGACUAACCGCGUGUGUGUGUGUGUGUGUCAGACGGGAGUGAGUGAAGCCUCGAAUUCCCGGUGACGAGUGCGUAGUUAGUGACCUAUAGUGUGGCUGCACUAACCCUGGACUACUACUACUACUACUACUACUGCUGUUGUUGCUGCUGCUGCUGCUAACACCACUCACUAACCAGAUGAUGACGAUGAUGGGGACUCACCACACCAGGAUGACCAAAAACAUCGCCGCCAUAGCCACGGUGUUCCUCGUCCUACUCCAACAAGGUAUGAACACAAGCUGAUUAAGACUUCCAUACCUGUGUGUUAUUCCAGGUAAGGCAU